RNAcentral lists this ribosomal RNA (414 nucleotides) under Staphylococcus aureus. RNAcentral describes it as "bacterial SSU rRNA". It matches the Rfam family "Bacterial small subunit ribosomal RNA", at positions 230 to 636 of the family's 1533-position model. The record is from RNAcentral. Lineage: Bacteria; Bacillati; Bacillota; Bacilli; Caryophanales; Staphylococcaceae.
UCCGCGCUGCAUUAGCUAGUUGGUAAGGUAACGGCUUACCAAGGCAACGAUGCAUAGCCGACCUGAGAGGGUGAUCGGCCACACUGGAACUGAGACACGGUCCAGACUCCUACGGGAGGCAGCAGUAGGGAAUCUUCCGCAAUGGGCGAAAGCCUGACGGAGCAACGCCGCGUGAGUGAUGAAGGUCUUCGGAUCGUAAAACUCUGUUAUUAGGGAAGAACAUAUGUGUAAGUAACUGUGCACAUCUUGACGGUACCUAAUCAGAAAGCCACGGCUAACUACGUGCCAGCAGCCGCGGUAAUACGUAGGUGGCAAGCGUUAUCCGGAAUUAUUGGGCGUAAAGCGCGCGUAGGCGGUUUUUUAAGUCUGAUGUGAAAGCCCACGGCUCAACCGUGGAGGGUCAUUGGAAACUGG